This 499-nucleotide ribosomal RNA is filed under the name Lactococcus lactis subsp. lactis. RNAcentral describes it as "bacterial SSU rRNA". It matches the Rfam family "Bacterial small subunit ribosomal RNA", at positions 23 to 504 of the family's 1533-position model. Lineage: Bacteria; Bacillati; Bacillota; Bacilli; Lactobacillales; Streptococcaceae. The record is from RNAcentral.
CUCAGGACGAACGCUGGCGGCGUGCCUAAUACAUGCAAGUUGAGCGCUGAAGGUUGGUACUUGUACCAACUGGAUGAGCAGCGAACGGGUGAGUAACGCGUGGGGAAUCUGCCUUUGAGCGGGGGACAACAUUUGGAAACGAAUGCUAAUACCGCAUAAAAACUUUAAACACAAGUUUUAAGUUUGAAAGAUGCAAUUGCAUCACUCAAAGAUGAUCCCGCGUUGUAUUAGCUAGUUGGUGAGGUAAAGGCUCACCAAGGCGAUGAUACAUAGCCGACCUGAGAGGGUGAUCGGCCACAUUGGGACUGAGACACGGCCCAAACUCCUACGGGAGGCAGCAGUAGGGAAUCUUCGGCAAUGGACGAAAGUCUGACCGAGCAACGCCGCGUGAGUGAAGAAGGUUUUCGGAUCGUAAAACUCUGUUGGUAGAGAAGAACGUUGGUGAGAGUGGAAAGCUCAUCAAGUGACGGUAACUACCCAGAAAGGGACGGCUAACUAC